AGGGUUUGAUUCUGGCUCAGAACGAACGCUGGCGGCAGGCCUAACACAUGCAAGUCGAGCGAGAAGCCACCUUCGGGUGGUGGGCAGCGGCGGACGGGUGAGUAACGCGUAGGGAUCUGCCCAGGAGUGGGGGACAACCACUGGAAACGGUGGCUAAUACCGCAUACGCCCACGAGAUAUGAUGUUUCGUGGGGAAAGAUUUAUCGCUCCUGGAUGUACCUGCGUCGGAUUAGCUUGUUGGUGAGGUAACGGCUUACCAAGGCUACGAUCCGUAGCUGGUUUGAGAGGAUGAUCAGCCACACUGGGACUGAGACACGGCCCAGACUCCUACGGGAGGCAGCAGUGGGGAAUAUUGCACAAUGGGCGAAAGCCUGAUGCAGCCAUGCCGCGUGAGUGAAGAAGGCCUUAGGGGNGUAAAGCUCUUUCAACGGUGAAGAUGAUGACGGUAGCCGAGAAGAAGCCCCGCACC
Molecule: ribosomal RNA, 469 nt
Filed under: uncultured marine bacterium
Lineage: Bacteria
Description: bacterial SSU rRNA
Rfam family: Bacterial small subunit ribosomal RNA
Source: RNAcentral